AUCACCAGGGGAAUCUUGUGAAGAUGCAGAUUCUCACUCAGUAGGUGCUGAGGGUAGGGGCUGAGGGGGGUCUGAGAUUCUGCAUUUCUCACAAGCUUCCAAGUGAUGCCAG
RNAcentral lists this microRNA precursor (112 nucleotides) under Camelus bactrianus (Bactrian camel). RNAcentral's name for it is "mir-544 microRNA precursor family". It matches the Rfam family "mir-544 microRNA precursor family". RNAcentral also lists the same sequence under 2 other names. The record is from Rfam by way of RNAcentral. Lineage: Eukaryota; Metazoa; Chordata; Mammalia; Artiodactyla; Camelidae.